Molecule: non-coding RNA, 812 nt
Organism: Triticum urartu
Lineage: Eukaryota; Viridiplantae; Streptophyta; Magnoliopsida; Poales; Poaceae
Source: RefSeq, a predicted model, not a curated record
UCAUGGAGCUGAGAUACAAUAGAGAUUGAGAUUUGGGGACUAUUCAUUAUAGGGAUUAGAGAUUGGAUUGUGAUCUUCUGGAAGUAUGUGGCAUGAGAGAGAUGAUGCUAGAUUCAAUAGAGCUCAUAUCCAUUGCCAAAUGAAGAAGUUCUUUUAAAAGGAUAUUCUUCGGCAUGAGCAUAUCGCUUCCGAUUAGCUUGCGGCGGCCUGCUGGGCUAAGAUUCUCGCUGGAUCCGCUGAAUAUCUUGCGGCAAGGAGGGCACGCGGUGGCGCGGCCGGACGGAGAAGCCGGCACAGUUGAGCUGCCGCGAAGUGAACCAAGGAGCCGUCGACCUGCAUGGAGCAGCGCGGCGCAACAAACACAAAGGAGCGGAAGACGGAUUCAUUAGUGCCGCAAGUAGCAGCGCAGGAAAACAUGGUGUUCAUAAGCAGGUUGUGAAGACAUGCAAGGACGGAAAGAUCUAAACAGACCUCAAGAUUUCAGUUAUAUAUUACCCAAAAUUGAUGAUGUUUCUGUCGAUUUCUUCUUCCGUCGUUCGAUGUGUUGGGUGUCCUGCCGUAUGUCGCCCCUUAGAUUCGUAUGACAUAUGUCGCACCUUCGAUUCGUUCCUGGCGUGUGUCGAUAUGUCGUUGUGUGGAUCUCCCUUCUAUCCUCAUACGUGUGUUGUUGGUUGCUCUGGCGUCUGUUAAUUCCCUGGAUGUUCUGGUGUGUGUCCCAACCUUUAUAUUAGUCCAAAUGUUGUUCAGUUUGAAUUGGACACGGACGGGUGUCCGCUGGAAACUAUUCUGUGUGCAAUAGUAUACGUCCAUUC